AAAGUUUAGCUAAGACGCAAGAACGACUAGAUAAACAACAUGCAAGCUUCUCAUUUCUUGAUAUUAACAAUAUACAAAAUUAUGCUAUAGCAAAAUACCAAGAACACUAAUAACACUAUCAAUCUUCCUCAUUCUCUAGUAAACAAUAUACAAAAUUUUAGCAAAAGCAGACCAAAUAAUAACACUACACAAUCCUUCUCAUUUCUUGAUAAACAAUAUACAAAAUUUAUGCAAAAAACGAACACAGACACUCAAUCUUCUCAUUUCUUGUUUAACAUAAUACAAAUUUAGCAACAAGAACCUAAGUUAAACUACCAAUCUUCUCAUUGCUUGAUAACAAUAUCACAAUUUAGCAAAAAUCAGAAGAACUACAAUAACCACUAUAUCAAUCUUACUAUUUCUUGUUAGCAUAAUAUCAAUCAUUUUAAGCACACAACAAUGAACUAAUUAAAACACUACAUCAAUCCUCUCUUUUCUUGAUAACAAUCAUACAUUUAGCCAGAAACAUGAAAUACCUAUCAACUCCUAUCAAUCUUCUCAUUUGGCUUGACAGACAAUCAUAUAGAAUUACGCACAAGACCAUAACAAGAACACUAAUAACGUUAUCAAUCUUCUCAUUUCUUGACAACAAUAUACAAAAUUUAGCAAAACAAGAACACUAAUAACACUAUCAAUCUUCUCAUUUCUUGAUAAGAAUAUACAAAAUUAGCGAAACAAGAACACUAAUAACACUAUCAAUCUUCUCAUUUCUUGAUAAGAAUAUACAAAAUUUAGCAAAACAAGAACACUAAUAAUACUAUCAACCAUCUCAUUUCUUGAUAACAAUAUAUAAAAUUUAGCAAAACAAGAACACUAAAAACACUAUCAAUCUUCUCAUUUCUUGAUAACAAUAUACAAAAUUUAGCAAAACAAGAACACUAAUAACACUAUCGACCUUCUCAUUUCUUGAUAACAAUAUACAAAAUUUAGUAAAACAAGAACACUAAAAACACUACCAAUCUUCUCAUUUCUUGAUAACAAUAUACAAAAUUUAGCAAAACAAGAACACUAAUAACACUAUCAAUCUUCUCAUUUCUUGAUAACAAUAUACAAAAUUUAGCAAAACAAGAACACUAAUAACACUAUCCAUCUUCUCCUUUCUUGGCAACAAUAUACAAAAUUAGCAAAACAAGAACACUAAUAACACAAUCGAUCUUCUCAUUUCUUGAUAAGAAUAUACAAAAUUUAGCAAAACAAGAACACUAAUAACAUUAUCAAUCUUCUCAUUUCUUGAUAAGAAUAUACAAAAUUUAGCAAAACAAGAACACUAAUAACACUAUCAAUCUUCUCAUUUCUUGAUAACAAUAUACAAAAUUUAGCAAAACAAGAACACUAAUAACACUAUUGACCUUCUCAUUUCUUGAUAACAAUAUACACAAUUUAGCAAAACAAGAACACUAAUUACACUAUCAAUCUUCUCAUUUCUUGGCAACAAUAUACAAAAUUAGCAAAACAAGAACACUAAUAACACAAUCGAUCUUCUCAUUUCUUGAUAACAAUAUACAAAAUUUAGCAAAACAAGAACACUAAUAACACUAUCAAUCUUCU
Molecule: long non-coding RNA, 1587 nt
Filed under: Lathyrus oleraceus (garden pea)
Lineage: Eukaryota; Viridiplantae; Streptophyta; Magnoliopsida; Fabales; Fabaceae
Description: Pisum sativum (pea) long non-coding RNA (PSAT_LNC041672)
Source: RNAcentral